RNAcentral lists this ribosomal RNA (563 nucleotides) under uncultured Glomeromycotina. RNAcentral describes it as "SSU rRNA". It matches the Rfam family "Eukaryotic small subunit ribosomal RNA", at positions 548 to 1114 of the family's 1831-position model. The record is from RNAcentral. Lineage: Eukaryota; Fungi; Glomeromycota.
UUGGAGGGCAAGUCUGGUGCCAGCAGCCGCGGUAAUUCCAGCUCCAAUAGCGUAUAUUAAAGUUGUUGCAGUUAAAAAGCUCGUAGUUGAAUUUCGGGGUCAGUAGGUUGGUCAUGCCACUGGUAUGUACUGGCCUCACUGAUUCCUCCUUCCUGAUGAGCCGUAAUGCCAUUAAUUUGGUGUUGCGAGGAAUCUGGACUGUUACUUUGAAAAAAUUAGAGUGUUUAAAGCAAGCUAACGCUUGAAUACAUUAGCAUGGAAUAAUGAAAUAGGACGUUCGAUCCUAUUUUGUUGGUUUCUAGGAUUGACGUAAUGAUUAAUAGGGAUAGUUGGGGGCAUUAGUAUUCAAUUGUCAGAGGUGAAAUUCUUGGAUUUAUUAAAGACUAACUACUGCGAAAGCAUUUGCCAAGGAUGUUUUCAUUAAUCAAGAACGAAAGUUAGGGGAUCGAAGACGAUCAGAUACCGUCGUAGUCUUAACCAUAAACUAUGCCGACUUGGGAUCGGAUGAUGUUAUUUUUAAUGACUCAUUCGGCGCCUUACGGGAAACCAAAGUGUUUGGGUUC